AUUGAACGCUGGCGGCAGGCCUAACACAUGCAAGUCGAACGAGUGGCGGACGGGUGAGUAAUGUCUGGGAAACUGCCUGAUGGAGGGGGAUAACUACUGGAAACGGUAGCUAAUACCGCAUACCAUGGGAUGUGCCACGAUGGGAUUAAUUAGUAGGUGGGGUAACGGCUCACCUAGGCGACGAGCCAUAGCUGGUCUGAGAGGUUGACCUGCCACACUGGAACUGCGACACGUUCCAGACUCCUACGGGAGGCAGCAGUGGGGAAUAUUGCACAAGGGGCGAAAUCCUGAUGCAGCCAUGCCGCGUGUGUGAAGAAGGCCGUCGGGUUGUAAAGCACUUUCAGCGGGGAGGCGUUACCCGAAGAAGAAGCCCCGGCUAACUCCGUGCCAGCAGCCGCGGUAAUAC
This 406-nucleotide ribosomal RNA is filed under the name uncultured bacterium. RNAcentral's name for it is "partial 16S ribosomal RNA". It matches the Rfam family "Bacterial small subunit ribosomal RNA", at positions 30 to 526 of the family's 1533-position model. The record is from RNAcentral.